UCCGUAGGCGGGCAAUUAAGUCAGUGGUGAAAUCCCAGAGCUCAACUCUGGAACUGCCAUUGAUACUGGUUGUCUUGAAUUUAGUUGAGGUGGGCGGAAUACGUUAUGUAGCGGUGAAAUGCAUAGAUAUAACGUAGAACACCGAUUGCGAAGGCAGCUCACUAAACUAAUAUUGACGCUGAUGGACGAAAGCGUGGGGAGCGAACAGGAUUAGAUACCCUGGUAGUCC
Molecule: ribosomal RNA, 229 nt
Filed under: uncultured bacterium
Lineage: Bacteria
Description: partial 16S ribosomal RNA
Rfam family: Bacterial small subunit ribosomal RNA
Source: RNAcentral